GACGAACGCUGGCGGCGUGCUUAACACAUGCAAGUCGAACGGAAAGGCCCUGCUUUUGUGGGGUGCUCGAGUGGCGAACGGGUGAGUAACACGUGAGUAACCUGCCCUUGACUUUGGGAUAACUUCAGGAAAUUGGGGCUAAUACCGGAUAGGAGCUCCUGCUGCAUGGUGGGGGUUGGAAAGUUUCGGCGGUUGGGGAUGGACUCGCGGCUUAUCAGCUUGUUGGUGGGGUAGUGGCUUACCAAGGCUUUGACGGGUAGCCGGCCUGAGAGGGUGACCGGCCACAUUGGGACUGAGAUACGGCCCAGACUCCUACGGGAGGUAGCAGUGGGGAAUAUUGCACAAUGGGCGGAAGCCUGAUGCAGCAACGCCGCGUGCGGGAUGACGGCCUUCGGGUUGUAAACCGCUUUCGCCUGUGACGAAGCGUGAGUGACGGUAAUGGGUAAAGAAGCACCGGCUAACUACGUG
This 468-nucleotide ribosomal RNA is filed under the name uncultured bacterium. Its description in RNAcentral is "partial 16S ribosomal RNA". It matches the Rfam family "Bacterial small subunit ribosomal RNA", at positions 28 to 507 of the family's 1533-position model. The record is from RNAcentral.